RNAcentral lists this long non-coding RNA (4051 nucleotides) under Bos taurus (domestic cattle). RNAcentral's name for it is "long non-coding RNA NONBTAT031091". The record is from RNAcentral. Lineage: Eukaryota; Metazoa; Chordata; Mammalia; Artiodactyla; Bovidae.
AAAACACUGAAGACAAUGCAGGAGUACAAGAAGUAUGUAAAAUUAAUUUGGAGUAUUUCCUGAAGAUGUUGGGCCCCUGUCCUCAGGCUCACAGCCCAUUGAAGAAACUGGUCAGCAGCUUCGAAAAACAACCCAGGGCAUGGAAGAAGGCCCUGCAGGGCCCCAGAGCUCAGAACUUGACCUGAAGCUUUGACCAGGAGGUAACAUUUGUCCUUCCUAUUAACCAAAUGUAAGGGACCUGUUGGAACAGCAAGGACACAGGGAGGAUCGAAUCAUUUCACUAAACCAUCCAUUUGUGAGCCGUUUCAAAUUUACCGAUUUCCUGCUGGGGCAGUGGGAGAGGGAAAAUGAGAAGAAAAACCAAGUCCAGUGGUCUUAAUUCUGAGGGCCUGCAUGGGGCAGAGAAUAUGCUUUGAUGGAAAGGCAAGACUUUUCUCUGGGAUAUGUAGAAUUGGAGGCAAGGGGAAGCAGGAGGGAGGUUGGGAAUGUAGGCUCUGGAGGAGGGAAGUAGGAAGUGAGUUCUGUCCUCCCAGUGGGCUUUCCCUCCCCAAGCAGAUCACUAGCACAGACGGGAGUGACUAUUAGGAGAGAUGGGGGUUCCGUUCAAAAGCUGGAUGGGCUGGUGACUGUCCCUUUGCCACAGAGCUAGAGUGGCAGUGCAGCAUGCAUCCCAGAGGUCUGGCAUGCCAAGCUCCAGGAGGACCCCAAGGUCAAGUGGACAGAGCAGGAACAGGGUUUGUGCCAUCUCGCCAAUCUACUGCCCUGUCUGAGAGGGUGCUCUCCAGAUGAGGUCCAUCAGGGGCCUGUGGGGUGUGUAGCCAGCAAUGAAAACUGAGGGGAGCAGAAGGAGGCUGAGCCAGAUGUUCCCCCUUCUUCCCAGCAACGAUGCCCACAUCCUGUCCAGCCUACAUCCAUCCAUCAGAUUUAGGAACUUCAAAGUAGAGACAGGGUGUACAGCCAGUUGAGUUGCCAGAUAAAACACAGGACACCCAAUUAAAUUUGAACUAAAGACAAACAAGGAAUAAUUGUUAUUGCAUGAGACAUACACUAAAAAAAGACUAUUCCUUGUUUAUCUGAAAUUAAAAUCUUACUGGCUGUCCUGAUUUUUUUAAAUUGUUUUGCUAAAUCUGGUAUUUCGAUUAACAGGACAACAUGCUAAAUGAAUCUCAACAUUUUUGAGGAUGGUAUUAAAGUAAUAGGGUCUUGUCAUGUCUGGGCAGUUGUAGGAAUUUCCAGAAGUGGUGCUGAGUUCUCCAGGCUCUGGGAUUUUGUUACUGACUCCCAGGUGACAGUUUCCUUUCCAAGCACUUGGCCCCUCUUCCCUCUGGGAGCUAUGAGAGAAAAGAAAAAAGAAAUAUACUAUACAAGCUGAUUUGAUGGGCCAGCCAAAGGAACUGGCAGUAACUCAGGGGUUUCAAACUGUGGGUCACAACUCCUGCAGGUUGUGAACCCAGGUCAUGCCAGCAUGAGUAGGGGAUAGGGUGGAUUAGGGAAGGGGAUCAGAGUGUACAGCCUGUAUUUUUUUUUCAACUGCUCUCCCUUUUUAAUCAAUUUUACACAAUGAUAUUGUACAUGAGUAAUCACAGUAAGAGACAGGAUGGGUUUCCUAUACACAUACAAGACGUACAAGCUCAUUCACUGAGGCUUUUAGAAGGUUUUAUCAGUACAAAACUUGUUAAUACAGGUGAAGCCCAAGAAUACAGUAAACAUGACAGAACAUCAACUCAGCAGAGGUGAAUUCUUAAGGCGUUUGUCUCCUGCCCACACUGUCUGCCAUGAACCAAGUAUAGAGGACUUUCUCUCUCGGGUAUUUAACCUUUGAUGAGCACAGGCCUGUGGGACAUGCAGCUUCACAGUGAGCCCACAGCUCAACCACACCAACCUUGACACAAGCAAAGGAUAUCUUCCUUUCUCAAGUAUUCUCAAGAGUAAAAAAGCUAUUCCUGGUCACCCUACUCCUUUGGGUAACCUACAUUCUAAAAUCUAUGAUUAUUAAUCUGGUAACAUUCUCAAGCAUUUUUGGCAAGAUAUCUCAAAUAUCUCAUCACUGUUCAUCUACUCACUAAAAAUUCUUUGAGCUUCAUAAAGAUUGUUUCUGAUUUUCCCCUCAAAGUAUGACAAUUACAUACAGAAUAAACGUGCUAGAGUUAACAGAACUAAACAGAGGGCAGACUUUUCCUUACAAAAUAAAGCAGUAAUGGAGAUAUAAGAGAAUAGUCUAGUAUACACAUUAAUGGAGGAAGCUGAGUCCACUAAUGAUUCUGUCACUUCUACCCAGUCCACUAACAGUUCUGAGCGAGUGUGUUUCUACUUUCCUUUUUCACACCCAAUCUCAUUAGCCACAGGAACUGUUAAAAGUUCACAAUGUUGACCUUCACUUGGCCCAUGGAAUUCCCAUGAUACGCAAUGGGGAAACUGCCCACCAGCCCUCACAGUCAGCUACUGCUUCCCAUGGCCAGAGCUAGACCUCAUCACUGCCUGGGAUGGAUUUUAGUUCUCUCACUUACAUACCUCAGGAACAUAGAGGUUCAAAGACUACAUUAAACAAAGGCUUGCAGGACACAUUAGGGAAAGAAAAACCCAUGCAUCACAUCCACAUCUAUUUUCCAUCCUUCACAAAGCCUAACCCUCUUACAACAAAACAGGCUUUUGUAAGCAGGUUUUUAAAAAGAUAAAGCAGGAGAAAUCAGUAACUGGCUGUGAUUUGACCUAAAGUAGAGAAAGAAAACAAAAUGUUUGCUAGAUUUUAAAAAUGACAAUUUUACAAAGACAAUCUUCAAUCUGUAAUUUUAUUACUUAACUGUCUCUAGAAGCAGAGUAUUAAUACAAAAUAAAAACUGAUUUUUUCAUUAGACAAUUCCACAAAAUUUCAAUAAACAUUUAACAUUCAUUAUUUUAGUAAAUUUUAUGUAAUAAUCCGUGACUACCGAAGGUUUCCUAUGUGUGAUUUUAUACUUUUGCACAAUCCUUCAUAUAAACUAGGUACUGGGAGGAAGUGUGGUAAGAAGCAGCCAAAGGACAGCUGUUCCUCUUUCCUGAAAGUAAAAUCAAAUUACUAUCUAUCUCACACCCACCACUGCCAUGCACACAGUUGUUAGUUGCUGAGUCGUGUCUGACUCAGUGACCCAGUGGACUAUAGCCUGCCAGACUCCUCUGUCCACGGGAUUUCCCUGACAAGAAUAUUGGAGUGGGUUGCCAUUUCCUUCUCUACUGCUUGUAUUUUAUCUCAAAAAAAUCUUGUAUCUCUGAGUUAUUGUGUGUAUACAUGACUAACAAUAUUUCUUACUGUAGUCAGGUUCCAAAAUGUUUGAAAGACACUAAUGAUGAUGUUGAGGCUUGCAGGACAUUAUUGUGAAAACUGUUGGAUCAACAGCCAGGAUGAGUUGGUUUCACACCCAUGGGUUAGGGUAAGCUUUGCCUUGGUCUGGAGAAAUCACCCUCUGGAACCAUCUUAUCUUUUCAUGGAAUCUUCAGUCCCUGCAUAUAAAUGGCCAAUGCUUAAUUUAAAUCAUUUAAAGUUCCCAGGUUUGUUCAUUUUGUUUACUGUACUGUAAUAACUUAUUAAAAACUUACAUGGAAUUGAACAUUGUUGCACCUGGUCUUAGGCAUUAAAUAUGUUAUAAUGUGGGACUAAAGGCAUUGUCCAAAUGGCCAUAGUGGGUUUUCUUAAUUUAUUUUUUUAUUGAAGGAUAAUUGCUUUACAGAAAACCAUAGUGGUUUUAACAUUUGCUUUAUUUCCUCCUCUAAAGGAAAGGUUUUUCACUGAAAAAUCCAUGGAGAUUACUUGGGAUAAUUCCCCAAAGCUACCCUAAAUGGUUUUGACAGAGUCAUAAUUUCUCUCAUGCAAAGAAUAUAUGAUGCUUUUACUUAGAAAGUGGAAGAAGAAAUGUUUGCAGUUGUACUUUGAAUUUUUAAAAAAUUCCUAUAACAAUUAGCUCUUGAUUCAGAAAUUAUAAAUAAAGCUAUUUUAUCAUCCAGUGUCACUGAAACAUUUUGUCCUGUGAUGUUUUAGUUUUUAUUGUUCUUAGAGAUUUAAUUUUUAUCUUGCACU